AUUGAACGCUGGCGGCAGGCCUAACACAUGCAAGUCGAGCGGAGCGGCGGACGGGUGAGUAAUGCCUAGGAAUCUGCCUGGUAGUGGGGGAUAAGGUCGGGAAACGGGAGCUAAUACCGCAAACUCUCAGUUGAGCCUGGGUCGGAUUAGCUAGUGGGGGGGGUAAAGGCCUACCAAGGCGACGAUCCGUAACUGGUCUGGGAGGAUGAUCAGUCACACGGGAACUGAGACACGGUCCAGACUCCUACGGGAGGCAGCAGUGGGGAAUAUUGGACAAUGGGCGAAAGCCUGAUCCAGCCAUGCCGCGUGUGUGAAGAAGGUCUUCGGAUUGUAAAGCACUUUCAGCGGGGAGGCGUUACCCGCAGAAGAAGCACCGGCUAACUCCGUGCCAGCAGCCGCGGUAAUUC
Molecule: ribosomal RNA, 407 nt
Filed under: uncultured bacterium
Lineage: Bacteria
Description: partial 16S ribosomal RNA
Rfam family: Bacterial small subunit ribosomal RNA
Source: RNAcentral